GCGGCUUAAUUUGACUCAACGCGGGGUAAUUUACCAGGUAUAACAUGAUAUAAUAUUUUAUCAUGAUAGUGGUGCAUGGCCGUUUUCAAUGGAUGCUGUGAAGUAAUGAUUAAUUUCAACAAGAUGUGAGACCCUCAUUUAGACAGAUGUAGUGAUACAUAUGAAGGAGAGGAUUAAAACAGGUUCGUUAUGCCCUAAGAUAAUCUGGGUUGCACGCGCAAUACAAUAAUAUUUGAUAUUAUAAGGGAUAAUAUAAUGUAAGAUAUAUUUGAACAUGGAAUUGCUAGUAAAUUUUAUUUAAUAAGUAGAAUUGAAUGAGUCCCUGUUCUUUGUACACACCGCCCGUCGCUAUCUAAGAUGGUAUUAUCUAUGAACAAAUUUAUAAAGUGAAUAGAUAGUACUAGAUCUGAUAUAAGUCGUAACAUGGUUGCUGUUGGAGAACCAUUAGCAGGAUCAUAA
RNAcentral lists this ribosomal RNA (459 nucleotides) under Nosema bombycis. Its description in RNAcentral is "SSU rRNA". It matches the Rfam family "Microsporidia small subunit ribosomal RNA", at positions 819 to 1311 of the family's 1311-position model. Lineage: Eukaryota; Fungi; Microsporidia; Nosematidae. The record is from RNAcentral.